CUUGACCUCAAAUCAGGUAGGACUACCCGCUGAACUUAAGCAUAUCAAUAAGCGGAGGAAAAGAAACUAACAAGGAUUCCCCUAGUAACUGCGAGUGAAGCGGGAAGAGCUC
Molecule: ribosomal RNA, 112 nt
Filed under: Rubroboletus satanas (devil's bolete)
Lineage: Eukaryota; Fungi; Basidiomycota; Agaricomycetes; Boletales; Boletaceae
Description: partial 28S large subunit ribosomal RNA
Rfam family: Eukaryotic large subunit ribosomal RNA
Source: RNAcentral